GCAAAAUGGAGCAUUUGGAGAGCUGAAAUGAGCAAAAUGAAGAAUUUAGAGUUGCAGGAGCUCGUAGCACCCACGUUUAGCGGUCUCUACCUAGAAUGCUAGAUUCAACUAAGCGUAGCGGAAUCUUCUAGCGGUCUCUACCUAGACCGCUAGAGAAAACUCAAGAAAAAUACAAGUUAAUCGAGGGGGGCACAUCGGCCUAAUCCAGAGGCCAAGAAUCAGCCGCUAGAUUCAAUCAUCCUUAGCGGCCUCAACACUGGCCACUAGCGAUGUUCUGAAGCAACCUUGAGAGCACAUAGUAUUUCACCCUAGUGGCUGCACCAACACCGCUACAACACCACACCUAGCGGCCACUCCUAGCUGGCUCAACACUGGCAGCUAGCGUUAUUAAACCUAGAGGAUUUUAAGUUCUUAGCUUCCUAGUAUAAAUAGAACUUGUCUUUGUUAUGAAAGGAUAUCUUUUUAUAUUGUAUAACCAUAAAA
This 483-nucleotide long non-coding RNA is filed under the name Brassica napus (rape). RNAcentral describes it as "long non-coding RNA (BNAP_LNC007914)". The record is from RNAcentral. Lineage: Eukaryota; Viridiplantae; Streptophyta; Magnoliopsida; Brassicales; Brassicaceae.